Molecule: long non-coding RNA, 898 nt
Filed under: Nicotiana benthamiana
Lineage: Eukaryota; Viridiplantae; Streptophyta; Magnoliopsida; Solanales; Solanaceae
Description: long non-coding RNA (NBEN_LNC021065)
Source: RNAcentral
AUGUUGGAUGACUUGAUUGAGCUCGCAUCACAAAAAGACUACCGGAACAUGGAAGAGACACUUGUUCUUGCCUUAAAGCUCCUUACUAAAUUGUUUCACCAGUUGCUUCAUGAGCUAUCCCAAUUGACCACAUUCUGUAAACUGUGGUUGGGCGUCCUCAACAGGAUGGAAAAAUGUAUGAAGGUGAAAGUUAGAGGUAAAAAAAGUGAAAAGCUUCAGGAACUGGUCCCUGAACUCCUGAAGAACACCUUGUCUGUAAUGAAGUCUAAGGGGGUACUUGUUAAGAGGAGCGCCCUUGGUGGAGAUAGCUUAUGGGAAUUGACAUGGUUGCAUGUAAAUAACAUUGUUCCUUCUCUCCAAUCUGAGGUUUUCCCUGAUAUUGAUCCAGAAAAUUUACAGCCUGAUCCUGUGUCUGUAGAAACCGAUCCAAACGAAUAGCUUGUCAAGGCUUUGCGUUAUCUGGAUAGAAGUUAUGUUGGUGGCAAUAUUUGUACAAUGGAAGGGGAGGAUUUUCUGUGGCUUUUCACUGGAAGAGAAUAAUACACACAGAUGAAUGUUUGGUCAUUUUCGGCCAGGAAUUUGAUGAAGAUCUUUCUCAGAUAAUUGUGUUGGAUGCGCAUAUUGUACAGAACAUAAAGUUCUAACCCAGUUUUUACGUUUUGUAUUGUCAGCGUGUUGCUGCACGAGUUCCACUAAUGUGCCUUAAAUGUGUAAUCUUGUACAAGUGACAAUUCAACAAGUUCACUUUUUCGGGCACUAGCCCAUUCUGUCUGUUAAUUUUAUCAUAGGGAGUGUUAUCGUUCAACUUUUCAGUGCUCAGCUUGUUAAAGAACCUUGGUAUUGAAUGUGGUCUUGUAUCUGUAUCCCUCUGUGAGGUGAAUAUUGGAUUUUAUUUAUU